RNAcentral lists this long non-coding RNA (1194 nucleotides) under Oreochromis niloticus (Nile tilapia). Its description in RNAcentral is "lncRNA (ENSONIG00000027921.1)". Lineage: Eukaryota; Metazoa; Chordata; Actinopteri; Cichliformes; Cichlidae. The record is from RNAcentral.
UAAGAAGAAAGUUUCUGAUUGUCAUUAUGGAAUAUUUUUAUAUUACAGGGUUCACCAGGUGAGAAAGGGACACAUGGGCCACCAGGGCCUGAAGGCAAGCCUGUAAGUACUGAUAACUUUGGACAUUUUUCAUUCUGUUUUAUCUUUGGAUGCAUGUUGUCUGAACAUGAUGGAAUUGUUCUCAGGGUAAAGAAGGAAAACCUGGUGAUCCUGGCCCCCAGGGAUUUCCAGGGAUGAAGGGUGAAGCAGGUCCGACAGGAGCAAGAGGAGCACCUGGUCCUAAAGGUACAAAGGUAAGUGUUAGAAAAUCAGGAGCAUUAGUGUUUGUUCUUAUUCAAACUGGUUGUUUUAUAGACAGUUCUUCACUCUGUUGCAGGGAGACAGAGGCGAGCCAGGCUUAGCAGGAGAACCAGGUCUCCCAGGACCUAAGGUAAGACUGGGAGAGCAACAGUCCCACGGACUUUCUGAAAAUAAUUAUAUAUAUUAUAUAUAUAUUUCUGCAGCUCUCUCUUAACUUUUAUGGUGUCUUGGUCACUUUUUUCAUUUUAGUGCUGCUUUGUGUCGCUGUACUGCAAGGCACAAGAAGCCACUGAUAAUGCUUUACAAUGUUUUAGACAACUUAAUGACAACAAAUCGUUAAAAAUAAAAUGAAUUGUUAAAAAAUGUCAUUUGAAAUUAGAAGCGUUUGUUUUCCUUCUUUUCCCCCCAAAACUACAGCCAGUGUUAUAACAUUGUACAUGCUGCUGUAGUAAGUGAAAGUGAAAGCUGUAAAACAUAUAAAUACAAAGUUAAAAAUUUACGCCCUGCUUCACAUGUUCCAAAGCCGUCCAAUGGGCCACAUUGGCAUCUCUGCCUGGCCGAUUUUGGGCCCCGGGCCUUAUGUUUGACACCGCUGCUUUAGACCUUUUUGCUCACAGAAUAAUUUCACGCCAUAAAAACUCUGCUCAGUGUGACAUUUGCAGGUGUUAAAGGAAUGCAUGAAUAUAAUAAUAACAUUUUAUCUGAUAUGAAACAUUAAUAGUGAUGUAUAUCAAUAUUACUACAGCAUCUUACAAAAGAACCAGUUUGGGCCACUAUACCCACUCUCUAAAACACUGGUGGUUCCAUAUCUGCUCCGUUUACAUGUAGAUCAAACUAACUGCUUGUGUUUGGUGAAUACAGGGACACGAGUCUUUAAAUGCUGCCACAUUUAGC